AUGGGAGUGGUCGGUCAUAAUGAUCCUUUGUUAGGUGAAACCACAUGUGGGUCUUUGCUGCAGCAACUACAGCUGAUAUGGGAUGAGGUUGGUGAGAGCGAUGAUGAUCGCGACAAGAUGUUACUUCAGCUAGAGCAGGAAUGCUUAGAUGUUUACAGGAGAAAGGUUGAUCAGGCUUCUAGUUCCAGGGCUCGUCUUCUUCAACAACUUGCCAACUCCAAAUCCGAGCUUAAUAGACUGCUUUCUUCACUGGGAGAACUGUCUAUUUCUGGUGUUAUAGUUCCUGACAAGACAACUGGUACAAUCAAGGAGCAACUAGCAGCGACAUCACCAUUCUUGGAACAGCUCUGCAGGAAAAAAGAGAAGAGGGUGAAAGAGUUUGCUGAUGUUCAACUCCAAAUUCAAACAAUACGUGGUGAAAUUGCGGGUACUCUACAAGUUGGUGACCACUUGGAAAUGCCCCAUGUCAACGAGGAUGAUCUUUCAAUGAAGAAACUAAAUGAAUUUCUUUUUGAACUACAAGCACUUCAAAAGGAAAAGAGUGAUAGAUUGCACAAGAUUCUUGACUUUGUGAGCUCUGUGCACGAUCUUUGUUCUGUCCUUGGGAUGGAUUUCUUGGCUACUGUUACUGAAGUUCAUCCUAGCCUCAAUGACUCUGUGGGUGCUCACUCCAAGAGUGUUAGUGAUGAAACAAUAUCCAGGCUGUCUAAGAUGGUGACCGAACUUAAAGAAGAGAAAGUUAAGAGGAUUGGAAAGAUUCAAGCUCUAGCCUCCCAGCUAACUGACCUUUGGAACUUAAUGGAUGCCACUGUUGAGGAACGACAACUUUUUGAUCAUGUCACAUGCAAUAUGUCCUCAACAUUGGAUAGAGUGACAGUUCCUGGAGCUUUGGCUCUUGAUGUACUUGAUCAGGCUGAACAUGAAGUUGAAAGGCUGGAUCAGCUAAAAGCUAGUAGGAUGAAGGAUAUUGCAUUCAAAAGGCAGACUGAACUUGAAGAUAUAUAUGCCCAGGCUCAUAUUGCAAUAGAUACUAGUGCUGCAAGAGAUAGAAUACUGUCUGUUAUUGAUUCUAGUAUGUUCGAGCCAUCAGAGCUACUGGCCGAUAUGGAGAACCAGAUACUUAAAGCAAAAGAGGAGGCCUCAAGCAGAAAGGACAUAUUGGAGAAGGUUGACAGGUGGAUGCUAGCAUGCGAAGAAGAGAGCUGGCUUGAAGACUAUAGCCAGGAUGAUAACAGAUACAGUGCAACUAGAGGCGCACAUCUGAACCUCAAGCGUGCAGAAAAAGCUCGUGUUUUGGUUAAUAAAAUCCCAGCCAUUGUUGACAUGCUGGUGGCGAAGACCCAGGCUUGGGAACAAGAACACAACACAGCAUUCACCUACGACGGUGUCGCACUUCUUGUGAUGCUGGACGAAUACAGAAUCCUGAGACAGGAGAAGGAGGAAGAGAAGCGAAGAAUGAGGGACCAGAAGAAGAUAAACGACCAGCUAGCCGCCGAGCAGGAGAAGCUGUUCGGGUCAAAGCCGAGCCCUGCCCGGCCCCAGUCUGCGAAGAAGUUGCCUGGCCCUCGGGCCAACGGCGGCGCUGUCAACGGCACGCCGAACCGGAGGCUCUCGGUGCAGCAGCAGAACGGCGUGCGGUCGGCGAGCCGGGACGGCCGCAGGGAGAGCGUCAGGCCAUCGGCGCCGGUGAACUACGUGGCCAUCGCCAAGGACGACGCGGCUUUGCAAGCGUCUUCGAACUGA
Molecule: ribosomal RNA, 1743 nt
Filed under: Triticum aestivum (bread wheat)
Lineage: Eukaryota; Viridiplantae; Streptophyta; Magnoliopsida; Poales; Poaceae
Description: partial small subunit ribosomal RNA
Source: RNAcentral